GAUGAACGCUGGCGGCGUGCCUAAUACAUGCAAGUCGAGCGAAUGGAUUAAGAGCUUGCUCUUAUGAAGUUAGCGGCGGACGGGUGAGUAACACGUGGGUAACCUGCCCAUAAGACUGGGAUAACUCCGGGAAACCGGGGCUAAUACCGGAUAACAUUUUGAACCGCAUGGUUCGAAAUUGAAAGGCGGCUUCGGCUGUCACUUAUGGAUGGACCCGCGUCGCAUUAGCUAGUUGGUGAGGUAACGGCUCACCAAGGCAACGAUGCGUAGCCGACCUGAGGGGGUGAUCGGCCACACUGGGACUGGGACACGGCCCAGACUCCGACGGGAGGCAGCAGUAGGGAAUCUUCCGCAAUGGACGAAAGUCUGACGGAGCAACGCCGCGUGAGUGAUGAAGGCUUUCGGUUCGUAAAACUCUGUUGUUAGGGAAGAACAAGUGCUAGUUGAAUAAGCUGGCACCUUGACGGUACCUAACCAGAAAGCCACGGCUAACUACGUGCCAGCAGCCGCCGUAA
This 515-nucleotide ribosomal RNA is filed under the name uncultured bacterium. Its description in RNAcentral is "partial 16S ribosomal RNA". It matches the Rfam family "Bacterial small subunit ribosomal RNA", at positions 28 to 523 of the family's 1533-position model. The record is from RNAcentral.